CACGUAGGGGGCGAGCGUUGUUCGGAAUUACUGGGCGUAAAGGGCAUGUAGGCGGUUAUGUAAGCCUGGCGUGAAAGUCCACAGCUUAACUGUGGGAUUGCGUUGGGAACUAGAUGACUAGAGUUACGGAGAGGGAGCUAGAAUUCCUGGUGUAGGGGUGGAAUCUGUAGAGAUCAGGAAGAAUACCGAUGGCGAAGGCAAGCUCCUGGCCGAUGACUGACGCUGAGGUGCGAAAGUGUGGGGAUCAAACAGGAUUAGAUACCCUGGUAGUCCACACUGUAAACGAUGUGCACUAGGUGCUGGGGCGGAUGCUUCAGUGCCGUAGCUAACGUGAUAAGUGCACCGCCUGGGGAGUAUGCUCGCAAGGGUGAA
Molecule: ribosomal RNA, 372 nt
Filed under: uncultured bacterium
Lineage: Bacteria
Description: bacterial SSU rRNA
Rfam family: Bacterial small subunit ribosomal RNA
Source: RNAcentral